GCCCCGAUAGCUCAGUGGUAGAGCACUUCCUUGGUAAGGAAGAGGUCACGGGUUCGAAUCCCGUUCGGGGCU
This 72-nucleotide transfer RNA is filed under the name Cellulomonas sp. Its description in RNAcentral is "tRNA-Thr". It matches the Rfam family "tRNA". Rfam says of the family: Transfer RNA (tRNA) molecules are approximately 80 nucleotides in length. Their secondary structure includes four short double-helical elements and three loops (D, anti-codon, and T loops). Lineage: Bacteria; Bacillati; Actinomycetota; Actinomycetes; Micrococcales; Cellulomonadaceae. RNAcentral also lists the same sequence under 14 other names. The record is from RNAcentral.